AACCCUUCCUUCCAAGGUUUACAUCCUUCCUCCCAAGGUUUACAUAAAUUUAAUAGUUUCUUUAUUCUAGAACCAGAUUGAAAAGAUAGAAGAAGAAGAACCAGAAGAAUAUGAGGAACCUAUGAGAGCGGAAAAUUCAGCGCAAAAAAAGUCCUCAAAACAGCACUAAUAUAUGUAUGUGGUUUUAUUGCCAAAAAACUCCAUACAUAUAUAUAUAUGAUUGGAUAGACUUAAAAUCCAGAGGAUCCUUGUUUAUUCAUUCAAAUAUCUAUUGGAGGAAGUUUAAAAAUAUGAGAAAAUAUCUCAAAAAAUAAAUGGAGAGUCUCUGGAUAAAGGACAUGAUCCUAUCGAAAAAAUAAUUUCAACUAUUACUGCAAUAAACCAAAGAUGGCCUCGGGAGGUUGUAAAACUUUUGUAUAUGUAAGAAGUAUCAGUAAACUGAAAAAAAUUUAAUGUAAACUUGAAGGAAAAUAGUAAAAAAAUGUCAGAACACUGAAACAAACUGCUCAGUUUAUGUUUUGGAAUUAUGGUGUGAUAAAAUUAUAAAGCUUGACGAUCUGCUUUUAAAAAAUAGAAUGUAUAAAAUGUCAAUAAAUAAAUGUAUUGAAAUAUGGA
Long non-coding RNA from Eurytemora carolleeae, 615 nucleotides. RefSeq lists it as uncharacterized. The record is from RefSeq and is a predicted model, not a curated record. NCBI's taxonomy places the organism in Eukaryota, Metazoa, Arthropoda, Copepoda, Calanoida, Temoridae. The transcript has 2 exons.